AGUAACACGAUCCAACCUGCCGAUAACUCGGGGAUAGCCUUUCGAAAGAAAGAUUAAUACCCGAUGGUAUAAUUAGACCGCAUGGUCUUGUUAUUAAAGAAUUUCGGUUAUCGAUGGGGAUGCGUUCCAUUAGGCAGUUGGUGAGGUAACGGCUCACCAAACCUUCGAUGGAUAGAGGUUCUGAGAGGAAGGUCCCCCACAUUGGAACUGAGACACGGUCCAAACUCCUACGGGAGGCAGCAGUGAGGAAUAUUGGUCAAUGGGCGCAGGCCUGAACCAGCCAAGUAGCGUGAAGGAUGACUGCCCUAUGGGUUGUAAACUUCUUUUAUAUGGGAAUAAAGUUUUCCACGUGUGGAAUUUUGUAUGUACCAUAUGAAUAAGGAUCGGCUAACUCCGUGCCAGCAGCCGCGGUAAUACGGAGGAUCCGAGCGUUAUCCGGAUUUAUUGGGUUUAAAGGGAGCGUAGGUGGACAGUUAAGUCAGUUGUGAAAGUUUGCGGCUCAACCGUAAAAUUGCAGUUGAUACUGGCUGUCUUGAGUACAGUAGAGGUGGGCGGAAUUCGUGGUGUAGCGGUGAAAUGCUUAGAUAUCACGAAGAACUCCGAUUGCGAAGGCAGCUCACUGGACUGCAACUGACACUGAUGCUCGAAAGUGUGGGUAUCAAACAGGAUUAGAUACCCUGGUAGUCCACACAGUAAACGAUGAAUACUCGCUGUUUGCGAUAUACAGUAAGCGGCCAAGCGAAAGCAUUAAGUAUUCCACCUGGGGAGUAC
RNAcentral lists this ribosomal RNA (771 nucleotides) under uncultured bacterium. Its description in RNAcentral is "bacterial SSU rRNA". It matches the Rfam family "Bacterial small subunit ribosomal RNA", at positions 109 to 883 of the family's 1533-position model. The record is from RNAcentral.